GUAACAUGCGCGCGAGUCAAUGGGUGUUGAACAGCCCCAGGGGCAAGAUCGAAAGAGAAACGUGCCGCGAUCGCUCUCCACCCCGGUGGACGGGCGCGCAGCGGAGGCCCGCCGCGACGCUCCUCCCUCAAGGGAGGGCGGCGCCGGAGUACGGAGCGCGCACGUUAGGACCCGAAAGAUGGUGAACUAUGCCCGGUCACGGCGAAGCCAGGGGAAACUCUGGUGGAGGCCGGCAGCGGUUCUGACGUGCAAAUCGAUCGUCUGAACUGAGUAUAGGGGCGAAAGACUAAUCGAACCAUCUA
Molecule: ribosomal RNA, 302 nt
Filed under: Theridiosoma gemmosum
Lineage: Eukaryota; Metazoa; Arthropoda; Arachnida; Araneae; Theridiosomatidae
Description: eukaryotic LSU rRNA
Rfam family: Eukaryotic large subunit ribosomal RNA
Source: RNAcentral